AUUGAACGCUGGCGGCAGGCCUAACACAUGCAAGUCGAACGAGUGGCGGACUGGUGAGUAAUGGCUGGGAAACUGCCUGACGGAGGGGUAUAACUACUGGAAACGGUAGCUAAUACCGCAUACAUCAGAUUUGCCCAGAUGGGAUUAGCGUGUUGGUGGGGUAACGGCUCACAAAGGCGACGAUCCCUAGCGGGACUGAGAGGAUGACCGGCCACACUGGAACUGAGACACGGUCCAGACUCCUACGGGAGGCAGCAGUAGGGAAUAUUGCGCAAUGGGCGCAAGCCUGAUGGAGCCAUGCCGCGUGAGUGAAGAAGGCUUUCGGAUUGUAAAGUACUUUCGGCGGAGAAGCGGUACCCAAAGAGGAAGCACCGGCUAACUCCGUGCCAGCAGCCGCGGUAAUUC
RNAcentral lists this ribosomal RNA (405 nucleotides) under uncultured bacterium. Its description in RNAcentral is "partial 16S ribosomal RNA". It matches the Rfam family "Bacterial small subunit ribosomal RNA", at positions 30 to 526 of the family's 1533-position model. The record is from RNAcentral.